AUGCAAGUCGAGCGGAAAGGCCCUUCGGGGUACUCGAGCGGCGAACGGGUGAGUAACACGUGAGCAACCUGCCCUAGGCUUUGGGAUAACCCCGGGAAACCGGGGCUAAUACCGAAUAUGACCUCCGGACGCAUGUUUGGUGGUGGAAAGUUUUUCGGCCUGGGAUGGGCUCGCGGCCUAUCAGCUUGUUGGUGGGGUGAUGGCCUACCAAGGCGACGACGGGUAGCCGGCCUGAGAGGGCGACCGGCCACACUGGGACUGAGACACGGCCCAGACUCCUACGGGAGGCAGCAGUGGGGAAUAUUGCACAAUGGGCGGAAGCCUGAUGCAGCGACGCCGCGUGAGGGAUGACGGCCUUCGGGUUGUAAACCUCUUUCAGCAGGGACGAAGCGUAAGUGACGGUACCUGCAGAAGAAGCACCGGCCAACUACGUGCCAGCAGCCGCGGUAAGACGUAGGGUGCGAGCGUUGUCCGGAUUUAUUGGGCGUAAAGAGCUCGUAGGCGGCUUGUCGCGUCGACUGUGAAAACCCACAGCUCAACUGUGGGCCUGCAGUCGAUACGGGCAGGCUAGAGUUCGGUAGGGGAGACUGGAAUUCCUGGUGUAGCGGUGAAAUGCGCAGAUAUCAGGAGGAACACCGGUGGCGAAGGCGGGUCUCUGGGCCGAUACUGACGCUGAGGAGCGAAAGCGUGGGGAGCGAACAGGAUUAGAUACCCUGGUAGUCCACGCUGUAAACGUUGGGCGCUAGGUGUGGGGGGGCCUCUCCGG
This 766-nucleotide ribosomal RNA is filed under the name Micromonospora sp. R19-13. RNAcentral's name for it is "bacterial SSU rRNA". It matches the Rfam family "Bacterial small subunit ribosomal RNA", at positions 55 to 844 of the family's 1533-position model. The record is from RNAcentral. Lineage: Bacteria; Bacillati; Actinomycetota; Actinomycetes; Micromonosporales; Micromonosporaceae.